This 43405-nucleotide long non-coding RNA is filed under the name Triticum aestivum (bread wheat). Its description in RNAcentral is "long non-coding RNA (TAES_LNC020893)". The stretch from base 7003 to 7137 matches the Rfam family "MIR1120/MIR1122 microRNA precursor family". Lineage: Eukaryota; Viridiplantae; Streptophyta; Magnoliopsida; Poales; Poaceae. The record is from RNAcentral.
GAAAAUAUCCCAUGGUAAAAUACUCGGCCAAAAAUCACACCCAGAAGCAAAAAUCGUCGCGUUAUGAAAAAUAUGGAAUUGCAACACCGUCCGACAUCAUAGAAACAGAAACUAUUAUUGCACUAGCAAUUUUUUGCAACUAUUCCAUGCAGUCUGGGCGUUAGUGUGCAGGGGAUACCCAUAAUAGAAUAACAGCGUACCAGAAAGUAAUUUGAAAUGAGAUCCACAGCUUUUCCAACAGAUCAGAAAGAAACAUUGACUCGGGAUAAUCUGGGAAGAAACAGUUGCACCCAGAAAAACCGAGCAGUUGCUAAAUCGGGACCAACUUAAGUGUACACCAUAGGCCACGAUGAUUAACAACACAUCAUGGUCAUGGAAGCUGAGUUUAACCCCAUCCGACCCAGCAAAUAACAUCUGCUGCUCUCCUUGAUUCGACACGGCAGGUCAAGUUUGGGAAGCUCCACAAGCUUCUAUUGCAAGCCAUCGGAGCAUAAGCUCUCGGCAGCACAAGUCUCUUUAGGAAUCCCAGAAUUGAUCGUUCAUCUUCUAGAGCUGUCAUCUUCUUUCUCCAGGUUCGGGGGGUAUAUCGUGUCAAAGACAACCAGCGUGAAGAGAUUUCUUACUUCAGCAGGUGUACCAUUUGCUAAAUUGUGAUAAUCGAUAUUUCCAUCGCUUUUUGGUUCGUAACCAAUCUCCUUUUUUCCAUGUUGAACACGCUCAAUUAAUUUGAGAACCUUCAAGUAUGCUUGUAGUGGGAUAAAUACCUAAACCGGAAUAUGUACCAAGAUGGCAUAAAUCAGCAUCAGUACAUGGAGCAUUACAAUUGUCACCAUCUAGAAUAGAUAAAAUACAGUAGCAUGGCUGCAGUUCAUCUCUACCAGUGCUGGCAAUGUUGUGCGUAUAAAGAGGUAAAGAACUAGGAAAUCUUAGGAUGCAUGCGUUAGUUCAGGAGCGGCUAUUCCUGGCUAAGUGACUACUCCUACCUGUUAAAAUACCAUGCUUUAUAGGCCAUAGUUAAUAUUGUUACUGAUAAUAUGAGAGUUCUCUUAGACCAGAGAGAUGUUCUCCCGUGCUUGAGAGAUAGUCCCUCCGUCCUAAAAUAACUGUUUUUGAUUUAGUACAACUUUAGGCACGGAGGGAGUACUUAGAUACACCACUACCCAGAAAGAUAUCAGCAUUAGUUGAAGUUAUUUGAAAAAGGCUUUGGGCCAGCCUCAGGCUUACCCUUACAGAGUUGGACAGACUGGGGCCUGGCGUUUCAGGCCUGUCCCAAAGCACAAUAUUUCAACAGGUCUACUUGCAAGCAGCAAAUAACUAAACUAAAUAUGGAGGGCAGAAGAAUUUACACUUACAAGAUCUGAGGACGGUGCUUGAGGGAUUUUCGCCAUAGCAUUUGCAACAUAAUACUCGUCAGUCAUUUCAGUUAAUGCCUGCCUCAUUGAGAUAGCAAGGUCUUUUACUUCAGCUAAUAACCCUUUUUUGCCCCGCAUCCGUGGUUCCAAGAGCUCUGCAAACCCAGCAUCAUGUUGACGGUUGAUUGAUUGUCCAAUAUCCACUGCCAGUGGCAGAUCACCUCCAAGGUAUACAGCAAGUGCAAAAGUAGCCACCACCAAAGGAUCCCGUGGUUUGCGCACCAACGCCUCAUGGAACGCUAAAAUGCUUAUCCUGUAGAAACAACAAUCAAAUAGAAUGUCAUCUUAGCAAGUAGUACUGAAUCCCACGGAUAACAUUAAGAGUCUGGAAGGAUGUAUACUUCUUAGAAUUAGAGGUGUGGAAUCUGUAUAAACUGAUGAGUUGUACAGAAAUAACAAGUUGAAUCAUUCAACUCUUACCAUAAACUAUUAUGGCAUGGCCUGUUAGGUGCAAGAAAACUAUCCAGCUUAGAAAAUAGGACCUGCGCGCACAAGAUGGUAAACUUAAUAGACAAAUCUAGCAACUAAAGCCAAAUUAAAAAAAUAUCCAUAGCAAUGCCACCACAACAUGGAAUUGCCUCCCAAACAGAAGGAACGCCACAAUCUCAACUUAGAAAUAUUUUGCAACCAAUCUAUUAUAUUGGGGACCAGCUCUUUUGGCCGAUUGUGAAAAACAUAUUUAGACCCUAACUAGCUAGGAUUGUCAAAAACAUAUGGGUUCAAGAUUCUGGGAGAAUCUGGGGGAAGGUCUGAUUCUCAAGAUUCUAGGAGAAUCGACCAAAAGAACUGGGCUCCAAUAUAAUAGGUAUGAGUUAUGUUUGAUUCAAUUGAACUAGAGCAUCCAAAAAAAUGGACUCAAAUGACUGGGAAAAUAAGUUCGAACCUAUAAUCUCUACUAUUAAAGGAGGAUCGAACGUCGUGAUGGUUCGACCUCCCCUGCGCUCGUACGUAAGUUCUCCCGAUCCCUCGCUACCGAUUCCCGUGUCCGUCCUCCUCCCCUCGCGCAAAAAAAAAUCUCCGCAUGAAAAAAGAAAAACGACCGCACACAAAAUCAAACCAAGACCCACGCGUGCAGUUACCCCACCCACGACUCCCACCACCGCCACCAUCGCGUUGAUCCAAUCACCUCGCCUUCGUCCUCGUUCCCCUCGCCCAACCCCUCGCUCCUCCCAAUCACAUAUCUCUCCUGAUGAGAAAAAUUGUCACCGCCGUCCCUUGUCUUACCUCAGAUCUUCCCUCAGAGGUCGAUCUCGGUACUCCUCCACCACGCGCCCGCCUCCUCCCACGACUGUGGCCUGGCUUCUCCUCCUCCUCGCUCACAAUCCACGUGCCCGCCGCGCUGGCGUAGGCGCCGACGCAGGUGACUCAGGCGCCCACCCUCCUAGCACUCGGGCACCGCCCACGCAUAGACGCCGGCGUCAACCGUGCCAUCGAGGUCAAGGAGUCCCUCGACCCAACCCUUGCCUGCGUCGGUUGCUCCGCCCGUCUCGAUGGGAUCGGUUACUCGGUCUCGAGCAUCGGGCUCAUCUCCAGCGAGUACGGCGUCGGUGCGGACGCUGCGGUGGACAGCGAAAGUACGGGCUAAUUGCUAGCUCGUCCGAGUCUUCAGUCCACGCCAUCCUGCCGCCUCUCUCUGCUGCACCGGCGCCCACCACGCACUCCGCAUGUUCUUCGACAAAGGCAAGGAUAAACACUGAAUGUCAGUUUGUCACCCCUCCAGAAGCAAGGUUGUCAUCCCCUCUAUCUCUCAUUUUUUUUUACAUCCUUGAUUCCUUGUCACAGUGCUGCUCUGUGUUGCUACUGUUGCAUGAAUGAAGUGACAUGCUGUUGUUGUAUGAAUAAAAAUGAGCUGCUGCCUUUUUAAUAAAACUAACUUGUUUGCAGAUUCUUGUAUGGGCAGAAGAAAGAUAGAACAUGUUGGCUUCCCUGUUUUUUUUCUAUCUACAAGCCUAUAUAUGUGCCUUGCCAUCAGAAACAAAAUGAGUAAUAGGGGUUGGGGAGAAUGCACAUUCUGUAGUUAGCUAAAGAACUAGCUUAAGGGAUAGCAAAUCAAUCAUGUUUAUGAGUUCUGAACUGCAGGUUGUAAUUUAGAUGACGUUUGUUAUAACUCUGCUGCACAUUUUUAGAACUAGACAGAGGGAAAGGGAGAGCUGCUAGCUAAUACUUGAGAUUCAAGGUUAAUAUCUGAAUGAAGCAGUUUCUGCCCCCACAGACCCUUCAAACAAAUCUGUACCGUGCCAGAUAUGAGGGAAUAUUAUUGUGAUAUACAAAAAUACUUGAGAUGUUUCUGGGUGAAGCCGUAGCUACCAACUAUGCUUCAAUUUUUUUUACUGCUUCAUUCAUUAUUCUUUUCAGUGAACUAUAAUCAAUCAUGGUGAUAAACUCAUCAUCUUCCCGUUGAGUACCCUGCUGGUCUGAUAAAAUAUGAGCUGGGGAAAUAGAGAUGACAAAUGCUAUCACAUUGCAAAAUCGUUCUACUCCUAGAUUAUUUACAUAUUAUACUAUUAUAUUCAAUACAAGCUUUAUGAGCAUUUUAAAUUACUUAAUUUAGGCCUUGUAUUUCUUGUAGGAUAUAUUAACUCCGCCUAUGUUGUCUCAACAUAGCCGGUCCCAAGCCCCGGGUAAAGGAGGAGGGUUAUGAUAGGCUUGGCGAGCCAACGUAAAAACUCAGCCACUCUUAUGGAGAUGAAACCCAUAGAAGGAGAAGAUGUCUUAAGCUUUGCUCUAGCCUACAACAUGAUUGUAGCUAACACCCUCUUUAGAAAGAGAGAAUCACAUCUGGUGACUUUCAGUAGUGGCCAAAACUCUAGCCAGAUUGAUUUCAUCCUCUCGAGAAGAGAACAUAGGCGUGCGUGCCUAGACUGUAAGGUGAUACCUGGAGAGAGUGUUGUACCCCAGCAUAAGCUGGUGGUUGCUGACUUCCGCUUUCGGAUUCGUGUCCAGCGGGAUAAGCGUGCCAAAGUCGCUAGAACGAAGUGGUGGAAGCUCAAGGGGGAGGUAGCUCUAGCAUUCAAGGAGAGGGUCAUUAAGGAGGGCCCUUGGGAGGAAGGAGGAGAUGCGAACAAUGUGUGGACGAAGAUGGCGACUUGCAUUCGUAAGGUGGCCUCGGAGGAGCUUGGAGUGUCCAGGGGAAGGAGAAGCGAAGAUAAGGAUACCUGGUGGUGGAAUGAUGAUGUCCAGAAGGCGAUUAAAGAGAAGAAAGAUUGCUUCAAACGCCUAUACCUGGAUAGGAGUGCAGACAACAUAGAGAAGUACAAGAUGGCGAAGAAGGCCGCAAAGCGAGCUGUUGGUGAAGCAAGGGGUCAGGCAUAUGAGGACCUCUACCAACGGUUAGGCACGAAGGAAGGUGAAAGGGACAUCUAUAAGAUGGCCAAGAUCCAAGAGAGGAAGACGAGGGAUAUUGGCCAAGUCAAAUGCAUCAAGGACGGAGCAGGCCAACUCUUGGUGAAGGACGAGGAGAUUAAGCAUAGAUGGCGGGAGUACUUCGACAAGCUGUUCAAUGGGGAGAAUGAGAGUUCUACCAUUGAACUGGACGACUCCUUUGAUGAGACCAGCAUGCGUUUUGUGCGGCGAAUCCAGGAGUCUGAGGUCAAGGAGGCUUUAAAAAGGAUGAAAGGAGGCAAGGUGAUGGGCCCUGAUUGUAUCCCCAUUGAGGUGUGGAAAGGUCUCGGGGACAUAGCGAUAGUAUGGCUAACCAAGCUUUUCAACCUCAUUUUUUGGGCAAACAAGAUGCCAGAAGAAUGGAGACGGAGUAUAUUAGUACCAAUCUUCAAGAACAAGGAGGAUGUUCAGAGUUGUACUAAUUACCAUGGAAUUAAGCUGAUGAGCCAUACAAUGAAGCUAUGGGAGAGAGUCAUUGAGCACCGCUUAAGAAGAAUGACAAGCGUGACCAAAAAUCAGUUUGGUUUCAUGCCUGGGAGGUCGACCAUGGAAGCCAUUUUCUUGGUACGACAACUUAUGGAGAGAUAUAGGGAGCAAAAGAAGGACUUGCAUAUGGUGUUCAUUGACUUGGAGAAGGCCUAUGAUAAGAUACCGCGGAAUGUCGUGUGGUGGGCCUUGGAGAAACACAAAGUCCCAGCAAAGUACAUUACCCUCAUCAAGGACAUGUACGAUAAUGUUGUGACAAGUGUUCGAACAAGUGAUGUCGACACUGAUGACUUCCCGAUUAAGAUAGGACUGCAUCAGGGGUCAGCUUUGAGCCCUUAUCUUUUUGCAUUGAUGAUGGAUGAGGUCACAAGGGAUAUACAAGGAGAUAUCCCAUGGUGUAUGCUCUUUGCGGAUGAUGUGGUGCUAGUUGAUGAUAGUCAGACAGGGGUAAAUAGGAAGUUGGAGUUAUGGAGACAAACCUUGGAAUCGAAAGGGUUUAGGCUUAGUAGAACUAAAACCGAGUACAUGAUGUGCGGUUUCAGUACUACCAGGUGUAAGGAGGAGGUUAGCCUUGAUGGCCAGGUGGUACCUCAGAAGGACACCUUUCGGUAUUUGGGGUCAAUGCUGCAGGAGGAUGGGGGUAUUGAUGAAGAUGUGAACCAUCGAAUCAAAGCCGGAUGGAUGAAGUGGCGCCAAGCUUCUGGCAUUCUCUAUGACAAGAGAGUGCCACAAAAGCUAAAAGGCAAGUUCUACAGGACGGCGGUUCGACCCGCAAUGUUGUAUGGCGCUGAGUGUUGGCCGACUAAAAGGCGACAUGUUCAACAAUUAGGUGUGGCGGAGAUGCGUAUGUUGAGAUGGAUGUGUGGCCACACGAGGAAGGAUCGAGUCCGGAAUGAUGAUAUACGAGAUAGAGUUGGGGUAGCACCAAUUGAAGAGAAGCUUGUCCAACAUCGUCUGAGAUGGUUUGGGCAUAUUCAGCGCAGGCCUCCAGAAGCUCCGGUGCAUAGUGGACGGCUAAAGCGUGCGGAGAAUGUCAAGAGAGGGCGGGGUAGACCAAAUUUGACAUGGGAGGAGUCCGUUAAGAGAGACCUGAAGGAUUGGAGUAUCACCAAAGAGCUAGCUAUGGACAGUGGUGCGUGGAAGCUUGCUAUCCAUGUGCCAGAGCCAUGAGUUGGUUGCGAGAUCUUAUGGGUUUCACCUCUAGCCUACCCAACUUGUUUGGGACUAAAGGCUUUGUUGUUGUUGUUGUUAUUUCUUGUAGGAUAUAUUGUUAUCAUUUCCAGUUCGCCGAUGAUUGUUGUCUUUCUUGAGAUUUAACAGCUUGUUUCUUGUAGGAUAUAUUACUCUGAAAUAUCGCUAGCCAUUGCCAUGCUUCUGCAACACUUCAACCAAUUGUUGAUUAUUGCCAAUAUUGGGAGGAUCACUUAGUUGUACAGUUUGUUGCACAAUUUUAUGGUAAAAGUGUAAAACAAUAAUAAUGUUACCAUCAGAGUAAUCAGUUUUAUCUUGAUUGUGGAGGUCGUCCUUUUCUGUAGAAGAGUCUCUACUGUAUUCACCUUUUGCAGCUAAAAAUAGCAUUAUGGCUUUUAUGAUUGACAUUACAGACUCUUAUCUUCAGUGCUUUUGGACUUUGGAGUAAUCUUGUGGCGUAUCAGCAGUGUUCAACUCACUUGUGUUCUUAAAACUCCUAACUGAGAUACAUAUGAAGUUAUUAUCAUGUUUGCACAUACUCCCUCCGUCCCAAAAUUCUUGUCUUAGAUUUAUCUACAUACGGAUGUAUCUAGUCACAGUUUAGUGUUAGAUACAUCCGUAUCUAGACAAAUUUAAGACAAGAAUUUUGGGACGGAGGGAGUACAUACCUAACUGAGAUUAUCCUGAUAUAGUAGUUUUCUUUCCUUCCAAGUUAGUUCUAUGAGUUUUUGUCUGCACUAAAAUAUCUUAGGUCUACAAUUGUUUUUUGUUUUGUUUUUGUGAGAGUAUCUAUCAUUAUUUUAGUUAUUGCAUGUUCAGGAAUCAAAACUAUCUUCGGUGGUCACAUCCUUGCUGGGACCUACGGUGAGAAACUGAAUGUUGGGGUCUAUGAUAGCCAAGCACCAACAUGGUCAUGCAGGAGUUGCCUUCUGGGGCCUUGCUCAUCUACCAGAGCUAUGUUGUCAGCUUAGUCUUCAUUGGGACGCCAAUAUCUGUUUUGAAUUUCUUCAUGGAUAAUAACUUGGAGGCCCCAAUGGCACUUAUAUCGAUGAUUUCCUUUGUUGGCGAGAUGAUGAUGCACUGGAGAUAGAUGAGGUUGUAUAAAACGAGGAGCUCCUGAUGGUGAUAUGAUUGCUGAUCUGAAUGAUCAUGUAUCAUGUUAGUUUGUUCUUAGAGAUUCCAUGUGCCUAUUCUAAUGCUUCUUUGUUUUGACUUGUAAGUAUCUUGACAUAUAAAGCCAACAAAGGCAUGUGAGGAGCACAGUACUGCUAAUAUUUCUUUUUUUCUUUUUUUCUUCCCUUUGAUGGUGAUCUGCAGGCAUACAGAAGGUAAGGUGUCACCUUAAACGGAAGCCAAGCACAAGGUCAUAUUUAUCACAAUAUGAAAAUAAGCCACGUACCACGUACAAACUAUUCAAAAAUAAUAAUCAGGACUCUUGCUUUGUGGAUUACAAGAUGAUUUUACAACUAUCUCUGUGUGCCGAAAAAACUAUCUUUAUGCCUAAACUUAUUGUUAUGUGGCAAUGUACAAGCAUUGUUUCUGGAGGCCAAUAUCCCUCGAGCUAUACGACAUUUGAGCAACAGCAUGUUACACCAAUAUCUCUCAUGGAUUAGGCUCUUUCAGUGAGGGGUUGUUAGGGCUAUGGAAGGGCAAUUCUAUGACCAUAUGGUCAAACGAUGAAGGAGAGCAAGGGGGUGAUCACGUGUUCAUGAUGGCGGCGAGAAAACUCGUGAGGUUGGAUCUGUGUAGGCGGCAAGUGAGGAUGGUGAGCAACAAGUAAAUUUGAUGUCCGUGGCAACGCACGGGCACUCAACUAAAAUAAGUUCGAACCUAUAAUUGCAUUAAUUGCACAAUCAUUCACUUAAUUUUUAUCAGAUAGUUUCCUUUACAUCUCCUUGCUGAAUCAACUCCUUCAUUAGAGCCUGCAUUCUCGCGCGUGGAGCACCCUCAAUACCCUUUUUUGAGUUGCAUAUACGUCACGACAUACAUAUUGUGUAAAACAUGCAUUGCACGUACACAAUUGCUAGUAGAACUUAAAACAUUGGCAAACAUUUAGUAACUUAUUAGUAAUCUGAGUAAAUUGCCCCAGUGCCACCAAAGUCUGUUCGCUCCGGAGUACAACUCACACAUUACCUUUAUCCAAGUUUGACUGAUGGCCCACUUUUGUUAGUGAAUGCACUGGGCAAAAUUUGUUUUUUUUUCUAGAUAUACCCAAAGGAACCUUGAAUCAUCUCUCCCAUAAACACUAAUCAUGCUCCCUUGGCAUAGGCGUCGGUGCCUUAAGCACCUGUGCUCCGUCUGCAUGUGCCUGAUAGUCAAGGGCUCACAGCCUUGACAGCUUGAGGGACUAUAAUGUAUUACAAUCCCAUUGGAUAAGGCCUAGGAGCUGAGGAGCGAGGCUUAUGUGGCUAAGGUUGGCGUCGAGAAUGCCCCUGCGUACAUGUUGGUAGGAUGACUAUGGGAGGGAGGAGGAUGGCACGAAUAGGUGACGGCAAAUAUUACUUUUCUUAACCUAUCAGCCUUAGUUCAUAGUGGUGUUUUGGGAAGAAGUGAGAUGUGAGUGCUGUUUUGAGAAUUGCAAAAAUCGUAGUGGGUACAGAGUAAGUUUCUCUAUCAAUUAAGUAGAUGAAAAUUAAAAUGUUACUUGACUACAAUCUCAAGGACCCAAACUUUAUGAGUCCUCUAUUAAUUAAGUAAAAAUGAAAAAAACCAAUGUUAUUUGAGUAUAUUCUCAAGGGCCCAAACUUUUAUCAGUGAGAUGUACAUUUAAAAAAAAUGGAACUUACCAGCAACAUGUUAGUCCCAUUAUCCUUCCUCUUAAAAAGAGUUGAAGAAAAAUAUGCAGCCUGUAUAGCUCAACGAAAUAGUUCAGCUAAAAUUACCACAACAAACACCACUAUAUUUUGAGAUAUCAACCAUAGCUAUACCUGAAAGGGCAAUAAAUGUUCAAGAAGACCAAAUCGCCAAAGCAACCUUAAAGAAGCUUCAGCUGAACCAUAAGCAAGCAUAUAGUUAACCUCCAUGAGUAAUCUUCCCUACAAGAAGGAAUCAAUAAGAGACAGGCACCUGAGCUCCGUUCUUGCUUAUUCAAUGCAUAUGAGAAGACAAACAUUCACAAAAUAUAAGCACAUUGUGCAUACAGGACCAAACCUUGUCAAGUCUUGCCACAGAACAGGCAAGAUUUCUCACAUAAUAAGCUGUUUCUUUGGGAAAGCUGAAUCCUAAUCGAGCUGCAAUUCUGAUUGCACGUAGAAUACGAGCUGUUAAUUACAGAUUGCACAUUAAUGCCAAAUUCACAGAAAGGCAAAAAUAAAAUAAAAAGGAAAUCCAAAAAAACAAAUUUGAAAUGAUACUGACCACAAUCCUCAUGGAACGAAGUGGCGGCGGGAAUAACAGUACGAACCUGUUGAAAGGGAAAAAGGAUAUCAUAACAAAUAAAUGAAAUGACUCAUGUUGAACACAAGCAAAGAUGAUGCAACUACAACAAUUAUCAAUACAGCAGACCUUAGCUUUCUUAAUAUCUUCAAUGCCUCCCAGGUAGUCGUAGAUCUUUUCUGAAUAUGGAUUGAACAUUAAUCUGCACACAUUUAACAUCAGCAAAUAUGCAUACCAGAGCUUGCAGUAUGGAAACCAGUUAUCAUGUAAAGGAACACCAACCCAUUAAUAGUGAAGUCCCUCCCUUGGCAGUUUUUCCAGCGUAAAUAAUCGUUCUUGCUACAAUGUGGGCUCUUUGAAGUGGGCAUUUGAUUGCCAGUUGACCCUCGAACGUAAGUAUUAAAACUUGACACCUGCCAGGGAGGAUAAGAAAUGUUCAGUAGGCAGCACAUGUGGCGUGAAAGGAAAUCUAAUUCAAUGACACUCAGUAUUGAGUUGGCAGCAUAUGCGGUGUGAAAGGAAAUCUAAUUCAACAACCCCCCUCUUAAAGUGUGAAAAUUCUGAUGAUCCAGCCAAGUAAGCAUGAAUGUGUACGAACCUCAACAAUGGAAUUAUUGUCAUGUACAUGAACUAUGGGAAACCGCCUUCCUACUAUAACAGCUGAUCCUACAAAGGUGUCUUUCACCUGCAAGAGUUCAAAAUAGCAUCCUUUGUUGGUAAGGUCAACAAAAUUGCUUUUGCAUCUCAAAUAGAAUACAAAUUUGUUGACGACUUGCAAUGCAACAUAACUGCAAAAUAUGACACAUGCAAACAUAGAAUUAGAAGUGAAAUUAUACAUAGGUUUUAUUUAUACCUUUCACUUAUCACGGAUAGACUGAAGGUAUCUCUUAUUUCAGAUAAGGAAAAACUGCAUGCAUCUAAUAUCAAGCAAAUACACUAAUUAUGUCUGUUGCAGUUGAUUUUGACAAAACUAGUAUUAUUCUAGAAAAAUUACUAUCUACACAUUUCAGUAGAAAUGUUAGCUUUGACUCUGAGAAACGUAUGACACACAACAAACCAAUUUGUAAUAGAAUCACUGCAUAACAAUGGCAUGCUCGUUAAUAUGAGUUAUAACCUGCCUAAGAUCAGCUGUUGUUAUUAUGUCAAAAUCUUUUGGGAUUUUCUUCAUUAUGAGAUCUCGAACACAACCACCAACCAAGUACACAUCAUAUCCUGCAAAACAGUAAAACACAUACACAUGUCACUGAAUCUGGGAGUGCGAUAACAAAAAAGUAAAAUACAAAUGGAUACUUCACCUGAAGACAUAAAAAACCUUCGAUUAUCAUCAUGGUUUUAGAAUAAUAAGGAAAAACAAUAUUUUAUAGUUCUUAGCUACCUAACAGCAGGGUUGUUGAAGUGUAUAUGUGGAUUACCUAACCCUUUCCAUUAGUCUGGACUUUGGGUUGCGUUGGCUAGUGCAUGAAGCUUAACAUGGUAUCAGAGUCCGAGGUCUUGAGUUAAGUCCUGGCUUUCGCAAUUUAUCGAAACAUUGCUGUUGCCCCCCUUUGUCCACGUAUAUGCCUCUUGAGCCAUACCUCUGAGUCUAUCCAUGUGUUGACUUUCCGCGUCACACGUGAGAGGGGGUGUUGAAGUGUAUAUGUGGAUUGCCUAGCCCUUUCCAUUAGUUCAGACUUUUGGUUGCGUUGGCUAGUGCAUGAAGCUUAACAAGGGUAACACGGUGGAAUUGAACUUCCUUACUGAAUAGUGGAACAAUAAAACCAGAUACAUUUCUUACCCAUUUAAUACCAUCAACCAUCAAGAUUUUUGUAGGACUUCUAAAGGAUUGGAUUUUGGAGGAAAUUUUCCUUUGGGGCCCUUUGGUUUGUAGGAAUAGAAUCCUAUUCCUGUAUAGGAUAGGAACAAAUCCUUUGUAAUUCAAAGGAAAAAAAACAUUAUCCUAGACCAAAUAAAAAUAUCCUAUCCUACGAACCAAUUGACAUCUCUUUCCCUAUAGGAUUUGAGAUACAUCUCAUCUCACUUCCUAUGGUUUUCCUAUUCCGAUGAAAUUCAUAUCCUAUGAACCAAAGGAGGCCUCAAAUGGUAAUGCGAGUAUUUCAUGGAAAAAAUAAAAGAAUGCUAUAAUUUACUAGUGGUUAUGUUCUUAUAUCACGAGAAUCAAACGCUGAACCAUGAUAUUACCAUAAUAGCUGUAAAGGAGCAAACUUUCAGCUAAAUGAUUCACUUUAGGGCUAAAAAGAAAUCCUUCUAUAUGUAUAUCAGAGCCUUCUCAUAAACUCAAGAACAACAGAUAAUAUUGGUCCCUCCUCAAGAAAGGAAAAAAGACAAGAUUAGUAAUGACAAUUCAGUGUUUCCACGAUAAAAAACAAGCACACGAAAAAGGGACGCACCUCUGCUACGGAGUUGGUGGAGGACGUUCCAUGCCUCAUCGGGGAUCAUGGACUCCUUGUACCCGAACCGCUUUGCGCUGACCUUCUUCCAUUCCGGCCCGUCCGCGUCGCCUACACAGACCUUGGCCCGUUCGGGGGGUAAGCGAAAUCACAGUGUAUCACCAUCAGACCAGCGGAGAAUACGCAAGAAGAGGCGCAGACUUACCGGCGGAGGCGGUCGAGGGGUUGGAGUCGGAGGGCGAGGGAGAAGGGGAAGGGGACGGGCCGCGGCGGCGUCGGCGGGGGGAAGCGAGCGCGGCGAGGGGGGAAGGAGCGAGGCGGCUGGGCCGGGAGAGCGCGCCGAGCCCGGUGGAGGCGGCGAAGCGCAGCUCCGGCGAGCGAAGCGCCAUUCGGAUAGAGGCGGCGGCGCACGCCAGCGGACGCGCGACGAGGGGGAUGGGAUAGCAAACAGACGAGACGAGGAAUAGCGAUGCGAUGGAGUACCGGAGCUGAUAGACAGCCAGCCCACUGGCAGGCCGCAGCCUAGCCCGUGGAUCUUCAUCGGAUAGGUGGGCUCGCCAAGCUUGAACGAGCUUUAGGGCGCAUUCUUUUUUUUUUAAAAGGAGUUUAGGGCGCAUUCUUGGUGGGCAGGGAAGGGUGUGUUGGGUUCGAUAAAAAAAAAAUUCGAGAGUACGCCAAAGGCGUACCUUACUUUUAUAAAAGGGGAGAAACAAGAGCACAAAAUGUACAAGAGAGUUUGAACGGAAGCAAGCUUCCAUCAGGAACGCACACCCUAGUCCUAGCACACCCUACAAUUAACAUAUGCCAACACUCUCACAAAACGUGCCAUAGCCUCCUCCUCCCAAACCGGCUAGUCUCCAUUCUUUGAGCUCCGCGAUGAUGGCAAGGGUUAGGUCUGGCGCCGUCAUCUGUUGGUUGGUCCUAUGGAACACUCUAGCGUUGCACUGCUUCCAUAAGGCCCAAGUGGUAGCAAUGAUCACCGUGUCAAACCCACGCUUGGCACCCUUUCUGUAAUGUGCUCUCCUAUCUAACCACCACUCCAGUCCUCAUGCUCCGGGAUGCUGCCCUGCAGACUGAGCGCAUCGAACAUGUAGUGCCACACUUCUCUCGCGUAGACGCAUUGAACAAGAAUGUGCUCUGCGUUAUCUUCAUCUUGAAGGCACGUGUAGCAGGCAGAAGGAGCGUCCUUGUCACAGCCCCAGAUCAGCCCUUGUUUGUUUUUGCUUUAGCAUCCAUGCAACAUGUUUAAAUUUUAUGAAAUUUGAAAUGGGGAUGACCAAGCCCUAGCACCAAAGCAUUGCAAAUAGGUUCAACUUCAAAAUAUUUUCAAAGAACCCAAAUUGGUUUGCAAAAAUGUUCAUAAUUACUGGAAAAGGGUGAAAACCAUAUCCAGAGAUGAUGGAUAUUUUUCCAAGACAUUUUUGGAUUUUUGAUUAAACCAUAUUGUAUUUGAAUUGGGGCAUUUAAAUACUGUUAAUAUUUUUAAAUGCUCCAACAAUUCUGAAAAUAGUUGAGGGCCUCUGUAAUAAUUCAGUUAAUGUCCACAAUUAUUCUCAGGAUUUAUAAAAAAUGAUUUAGUGUCUAAAACUAAAUCAAAACAAACUACAGAAAAUAGAAAUAGAAAAGAGGAAAUAAAAGAAAGGGAGAGAAGGCCACCAGGCCACCUACCUAACUUACCUGGCGCCCACUUACCUGGCCCAGCACGGCCCAGCCCAUCUCCACUCCCCCUGUCGUCUUCCUCCUCGCCAGAAGGACCGAGGCGUGGCGCGCGCCCGAGAGGCCUCGGCCACCUCCUGCUUUCCCUGGCCACCUCAUGCUUCCUCCUCGACGCCCCGGUGACGCCACGCGCCUCCCCGACCCCCUCUCACCUCUCCCUCACUCGCUGCACCCUCUCUCCCUCCCCUGACUCCCUUCCCCGAGCUCACCCGAGAGUCGCCGUCGCCGCCGUUCGCCAUAGCCGCAGCCACCAGCCCUCCCUCGCCCUUCCGCCAGUUCCAGAAGCUCCGCCGCUGACCUCUACACCGUCCCCGCCAAGCCACAUGAGCGGACGCGCCCUGCAGCGGCUUCCCCGACCUCUUCUUCAAGCUUCGGCCGCCGAGAUCGCCGGCGACCGUGUGCCCUCCCUGACGCCUCCCCGAGCUCCCCGAGGCCACCGUCGCAACCCUUGUGAGCCUCCGGUCGAUUCCCCUCUUCUCCCCGCGUCAAUUUCGCGCCCUAGCCACAGAUGCACAUAGCCGAGUUGUGCUCGCCGCCGGCGAAGUCGUCACCAUGGCUUGAGCAAGCCCAGCUUGCCCCUGAGCAUGUCAUCGCGCUCGCGCUGCUCCCAGGAGCCGAUCUAGCCCACCCGUUCGUCUCACCGUGCACCACAACGCCGAUUCCAAGCACACCCGAACUCCGGCCGCCGCCUUGGAGCUCGCCGUCGUCGGCUCCGGCCACCAUAGGUCCGGCCACCACCACCGUUCGACGCGUGCCACUGCGUGCGUUUGAAUGCAACUAACCGCGCUCGAAAUGAUGCCCUGAGGGCGAUUUCCGAAGCCCGCCGCCGCAUCUGGCCUCGCCGGCGUCAUGUCGCCGGUGGGAUUGACCCACUUGAUCGCGGCGGAACCCCCCCUGGGUCGAUGACAGGUGGGGCCAGCCCCUGUUAAUUAGUUUAGGUGUUAGAUUAGUUAACACUAAUUAAUUUAGUUAAUUAUUUAAGCCACUGACAUGUGGGCCCAGCCCCGCUGACAUUUUCGUUAGUAUUAGUUUAACCCUAAUCAACCCGGUUAACCAACUGAGUCACUGACCAGUGGACCCCACUGGUCAGGUUUGACCAGCAGCAGCGUCUGUUGACCUGCUGACGUCAUAGUGACGCAAUGCUGGCGCAAUAAGUAUUUUCUGGAUUUAUUAUUAUUCAGGAAAUUUCAGAAAAUAGCUAAAACUUCAAUAAAUCAUAGAAAAUUAACCGUAACUCCAAAUGAAAUAAUUUAUAUAUGAAAAAUUAUCAGAAAAAUUCAAGGAAUCCAUCUGUACCAUUUUCAUGCAUGUUUGAACAAUGUUUGUCCUCUGUUUUGGACAAAACAAAUUAAGGGCAUUUAAAUAAUCAUAUAUGGAGUUUGAAUUUGAAUCUUGUAUUCAAACCAACUUCAUUUAAAUCAUAGCUAGUUGCAUUAGCUCAAAACACAUUCAUAUUGCCAAGUCAUGAGCAUGCAUCAUAUUGUGCAUUGCAUUGAUUGUGUUCUUUCUCUGUUGCCGGUGUUUGUCCCCUCUCGAUAGACGUGUACCGGCGAUGUGAUCGAUGACACUGAUGAAGAGCUAUAUUAUCUUCAGAAGUGCCAGGCAAGCAAAACCCCCUUGUUUAUUCCGAUACAAUCCCACUCUCUCGCUCCUGCUCUCUUUUACUGCAUUAGGACAACAACGAUUCAUCUGUUACUUGUUGCGGUAGCUGAACCCCUUUAUCCUUUGCAUGACCUGUCAUUCCACAGUAAAUAGAUGAAACCCACUAGUAUGAGUAGGAGUUGUUUGAGCCCUGUUGUGCCUACUCAUUCAUGUUUGUUUGUCAUGCCUGCUACUGCUUAGAGUUGAGUCAGGUCUGAUUCAUCGGGGAUGAAUCAGAGGUGUGUGAACAUGUCCUACUAUGUGUGAGCUAAGUGUGUGAACACGAUUUGGUAAAAGGUAUCGGUGAGAGGCCAUGUAGGAGUACAUGGUGGGUUGUCUCAUUGAAGCCGUCCUCAGGAACUGAGUUCUGUGUUUGUGAUCCAUGAUUCAGCUACUACCAUACAUUGGGCCCUGAAAUAUGACCCCGCUCGACUUCUUAUUCACCCUAGUCCUCUGUCCAGGAGUUGCAAGUAGUUUCUGGUGUUUAUAGCUUACUGGAGGCCAUGGACAGCGCUGACCGUAGGGGUGGGCUGUGAUGCGGUAGGUACGUGGCACGGUGUACCGGAUGCCCGUUUGGUAUCUCGAGAACCCUGUUCACAUCGUUUGGGGCUGUGAGCGAAACUCCGGCCGGAUCUCCUCAUGGAUGGAACCCGAAUAGGCGAUAAACCUGGACUAGAGACUCGAGUGUUUAGGUAGGUCGUGGUCUACACCCACGUCGGCUUUCGCUUGAAGUCUGCCGAGCACAUGUCGUGUGCAGACGCUAAGUGGUGGAAACAUGUAUGAAGAAGUACACCCCUGCAGGGUUAAUAUCAUCUAUUCGAAUAGCCGUGUCCGCGGUAAAGGACUUCUGGGUUGCUUAUAUCAGUUCAUAGACAAGUGAAAGUGGAUACCCUAAAAUACGCAAGAUAAGCGUGAGUGCUAUGGAUGGCGUUCCCGUAGGGAGACGGGAGCGGAUCCAUAGUGGUGUAUUGAUAUCGUGAAUAUGUGGACUCGUGUGCGCCACCUCAAAAGAGUUACAUUGCAGUCGUAGUUCAGGAUAGCCACCGAGUCAAAGCUGGCUUGCUGCAGUUAAACCCCACCAUCCCCUUUGUUGAUAAUGAUGCAUAUGUAGUUAGUUCUGAUGUAAGUCUUGCUGGGUACAAUUGUACUCACGUUUGCCUAUUUUAUGUUUUUGCAGAGAGACUUCGGUCUCGCUAGUAGUUCCGCGUGGACUUCGACGUUUAGCUUGUUACCUCAGCUACGAUCUUGUGCCUCGGCAGGAUUUGGUAGAUAGCCAGGCUUCUCAGCCGUUUUCAUUUAUAGAUGUCUGUACUCAGACAUGAUAGUUUCCGCUUGUGCUUUGACUUGUAUGCUCUGAUUGUUGGGUCAUGAGACCCCUGUUUGUAAUAUCUCGCUCCUCGGAGCCUAAUAAAUACUUGAGUUGUAGAGUCAUGUUGUGAUGCCAUGUUGUAUUUGCACAUAUCGAGCAUAUUGUGUGUAUGUUAUUGAAAUGCCUGGCAUGUGUGGGAUCUGACUAUCUAGUUGUUUAUCCUCAGUAGCCCCUCUUACUGGGAAAUGUCUCCUAGUGUUUCCACCGAGCCAGGGUAGCUUGCUACUGCUCCGGAACACUUAGGCUGGCCGGCAUGUGUCCUUCUUCGUUCCUGUGUCUGUCCCUUCGGGGAAAUGUCACGCGAUGAAUACCGGAGUCCUGUUAGCCCGCUACAGCUCGGCUCACCGGAGUCCUGCUAGCCCAGUGCUACAGCCUGGAUUCACUCGCUGAUGACCGACACGUUCGAUGCUGGGUCAUGGAUGCCUGUCCCUGUAAGUCUGUGCCACUUUGGGUUUACGACUAGCCAUGUCAGCCCGGGCUCCUUAUCAUAUGGAUGCUAGCGACACUAUCAUAUACGUGUGUCAAAAGGCGCAAACGGUCCCGGGCAAAGGUAAGGCGACACCCGUGGGAAUACCGUGCGUGAGGCCGCAAAGUGAUAUGAGGUGUUACAUGCUAGAUCGAUGUGGCAUUGAGUCGGGGUCCUGACAGCGUUGGUAUCAGAGCUUGACUGCCUGUAGGAUUACCAAGCCAAACUGGUCGAAGUUGAGUCUAGAAAUUCUUUAGUUAUGUAGGGGAAUUGAUUGUGGAUGGAACGUAAGGCUCUUUUUACUCCUUAUACCUCAUGGCCUUCUGAUCUGAGUCAACCUCUUCUCUUCUACGGGGAUUAAGAACUAGGCUAUCUCUUCUUUCUAUCAGGAUCACGUGUUACUAAUCCGUAGACUUAUUGAAUUGUUGGAAUUAAGCCUUAGUUCAGUUUCUACCUCUGUAUGUUAAUUAUUGAUCUCGAGACCUUGAUAUUGUGCUUCUGAGUGGUUAUGCCACCAUUUUUGUGAAUGUCUCAAAUCUUUUCUGAGCAUUUACAGCCGUUAUGCUGUCCGAGUCAUCCCAGGUUUCUAAAUAGUCUGAUGCAUUUGCAAAAUCCUUUCCCUUUGGUUUCGAUGUUCCUUUAUGCCAGCUCAGUCACACUAAUUGUUGAGUUGAGGUAUUCUAUUGCCUCGACUUAUAUGUUGGAGUUAUUAUUAUGACCCUAGGUGCUUAGGGGAUCAUCUAGUGAUCUAGCAAUGUUUUGUGUUCCCAGUGUGAAGAUUCUGGCCAUCAUUCUCGAAAGCAUUCCGUGAUGCUACUUAGUAGUAGGUAUUCUACUCGUGGGUUUUGAACCCGAGAUUCACUCUACUUACCUCACGUUGAUAGUGUUUGCUAGUUCCUUUAGGAUAUUAGUAACCUUUGCGAUAGUUCUCGAGGUUCGUGGUACAUCCUUCUUCCAAUUACCAUGAACCAUUCUUGGCAGGAGUUCUUCUGAACCAAAAGAUGACAACAAGAGUGCUCUCGAUGAGUUCUCCAUGCUAUAUUGUGACUCUGCCAGUCCUAACUCUCUGCAUGGGUUAUCUGGAAGAAAUGUUGAUCUCGCUCGACAUACUAAUCUAUGCAUCCACAACUCAGAAAGUUAUAUGUUCCUUUGAGUUGUCCCCCUUUAGUUGUCUACUGACCUUCGUCUAUCAAUUGAUAGUCAAGAGUAUGUGUGCGUUCGUUUAUCGAUGCCUAUUACUCUUGUGGUCCGUCAAGCCAUUCUAUCGCGGAAUGACUAGGAGAAACAAACUCCAGUACCUCUUCCAUAUCCAGGAUUGGGUCAAAGAAGUCGUACUCCGCAGAUCAAAUUGCUAAUUUUGCCUUUGCUCUGUUCUACCUUGGAGUAUUACCAUCUUUUAUAUCGGGAUUAUUGUAGGAAUUGCACACCAUCCUAUGAACUCUUGGUACAGUGAUACUUCUUGCCAUCAUUGUCAUUCCUCGGUCCUCGUGUUGAUGCAACCGGAAUACCGACAAAUGAAUUGUGAUGUGUGAAAUCAAUACUCCUAGCAACCUUGUUGCUUGGUAGUUAAAUGGACAAUAACCUCAUUCUUAACGUGUUGGUUCUUGAAUCAUCAUUCUAAGAUUGAUCGUGCUACCUUGUCCAUCUUCCUGGUGCACAUUUCGAUUGAUGAGUUAGGAUUUUGUCAAGUCCUCGCUCAUUUGAUCAUAUCGUCUUGCCCUGAAAAGCAAGAUUGUUCUCGAGCUUAGUAACAUAUCGGUGGUUCGUGAUUUUCCGAAUAUCUUCUCGAAAGUAUCACCAGGUUGUCACCUGACUGUUAUGUUGAGCUCGUGAUCAAGUUGGUUUUCCAAUAAACCACUUUUUCUCCAAGAAUCGGUGUUAGAUAUCCCUGAGCUAGUUGGUUAAGCUAGACAACAACUUGGAGAGUUGGAAGAUAAAAGCUUGUCUGACUUAGUUCGUUCCAAAGGGAUAUUCUUGUGUAGUGUGUGUUGAAGAAAGAUGGUAUCUUCAUCAAUUGAUCCUUGAGACCAGUUGCUGGAGCUAUUGUCUUGCCAAAACUUUGAUUUGAGUAUGGGCUAUUCUCAAAUCAAAUCCGAACCAACGAUAUUCGUAAUGUUGUCUUACUCGUGGUUGAUCCCUCGAGCAUACACCACUACAUCUUUGGUCUGACCAAUGCUAUCACCUUGUUCACCAAGUCGUGGGAUUCCAUCUUCACGGAAAUCUCGAUGAUUUGUUGCUGAGCCCAUCAACAUCAUUUUAUCUUCUCCAAGAUCUUGUUGGACAAUAAGUUAGUGUUGGAAACUUUUGAAAGCAUUAUCUUCAUGCUAGCUCAUGAAGUAUUUGUUUGAUGAAAGGAGUAACUUCCUUUAAUUCAUGUGCAUCUGAUGCAAGUUGCCGCCGUGGAAUCGAGACAGUCAAUGUUGCUUCCUCUGGAAUCAUCGCAAGUCAGUCAUGCACACGUGCGAAGUAUUCUGUGCUCUGGAGACUUGCAACCUUCAUUCCAUAUGUGUAUCCUAGCACACCAAGCCACUGACUGAUUUGUUCAAGGAGAAGGAGUAUCUUCAUAAGAGCUAAUCCGGACUUAUGAAAGAACUUCGAUAUCCUCGCUGAUGGUUCCCAACCAGAACUCGGUAGUGUUUUAUUGUAAGACUACCAUGUGGGCAUGCUUGUCUGGGACAUCGUGUUCACAUGUUUGUAGCAGAACCAGCUCAUGUUUUGGAGCUUACUAUCGUAGUUCAUUCCCGAGAAUCUUGCAACGUCAUCUCGUCGAUUUGUGUUGCAAACUUUCGUUUUUCUUCCUAGACUCGAUGAGUCUGGAAUAUCCUGACACCAACCAGAUCUGAAUCUCAGGCAGAUAUGAUGGUUUCGAACAUUUCCCAAAAACUAUAAUAUCGGUCCCUCGGAAACCGGUAAAGUGGAUGUCAUGGCCAACACACCCAGCCGGAAGACCUAUUAUUGUAGUAUCUUGAUUGAGAAAGUUGGCCACCUCCCCAUAAGGACUUCGUAGGAUUUACUCCUUAGAUGUUCCUUAUGGAUUUCUUUUGUGUUCUCGAAGUCCGACCUUUUACUUGAUGUUCUAGAUAUCAAACCAUAUCUAUGAAUGAGAUACACUAGCACAUCAAGGAGAACAUUAAAAGCGGAGUGCUAAAUGUCUCUCGGUCGAUCAUCUAGAUUUUGAUCCCUUGGCCUCGCUAAGGUGAAAUCUGAGAAAGUGUUAUCUUCCUUGCAUCUGCAUCAUCCAUCAUCAUCCAUCAUGGUAGUAUGUUGUGUUGCCAGGAUCCUUGACACGGAUGUUGAUAAAACCUUGAUGAUUGUGGAAAUGCUCAAGUUCUUGAGAGCACGCACAAGCGCUAGGUAUUAUCGCCGGCACUAACCGGGAUUGCUCCUAGUCUCUUCGGUUAUGCUAUAACCACUCCAACAGUGAAUUCACUCUCUAUUGUUGGGUUCUUCCCCAGUUACCAGAAUCAUUCCCAUCAUUUGUAUUUUGUUCCCAGCUUGCACCGCCAAUGUGCCAUUCUACCAUGGGUCUCUUCCAUUUCCGGUGAUAAGCAAAUUCAUCCAUUACGUUGUCUUCAACAAGGUAAUCCACAUCAUCCAAGUCCGAGUAUGCCAUUCUACCGACCCCCUCCAAACGAUUGCUCGAGAAUUGCCUUAGGCUGGUUUAAAGAGUUUCAAUGAUCUUUAAAUCAAAGGUAAUUCUUUUUGCCACUUGGAUAUUUCUACGAGUCACCUUCCCUAAGGUGCAUUGUUAUGGUAUCAUGGCAAUUCAACUCCUCGCUACGUUGACAGCCGGUCACCACAUUCUUAAGUCUGAAAUUGUUGUCUACCUAGUGAACCUUUAUCAUCUGCUUCACUACAUUCCUAUGGAUGUAUGCUUCAUCUCUUAGCUCAAGAGAUGUUGCUAUGUCUCAUUCCGUGAGUUAAUCCUGAGUUGUUCGACCUUCGAGAAGAACGAUUCUUUUAGGGUCUUUCCUUUCCUCUCGUUGUCAUGUUAGUUGGAGUUCUCAAGGCAAGACUUCGAGACAAUGAUGGUGAACGAAUCAACGUUCAAUUGAAGUGCAACCUGGAUCGUGAAGAUUGUACUAGUUUGCGUUCGCCCUUCACCUUACCCUACGCUUGAAUCUCGGGACGAGAUUUUUGUUUAGUGGGGGUGAGCUGUCACAGCCCCAGAUCAGCCCUUGUUUGUUUUUGCUUUAGCAUCCAUGCAACAUGUUUAAAUUUUAUGAAAUUUGAAAUGGGGAUGACCAAGCCCUAGCACCAAAGCAUUGCAAAUAGGUUCAACUUCAAAAUAUUUUCAAAGAACCCAAAUUGGUUUGCAAAAAUGUUCAUGAUUACUGGAAAAGGGUGAAAACCAUAUCCAGAGAUGAUGGAUAUUUUUCCAAGACAUUUUUGGAUUUUUGAUUAAACCAUAUUGUAUUUGAAUUGGGGCAUUUAAAUACUGUUAAUAUUUUUAAAUGCUCCAACAAUUCUGAAAAUAGUUGAGGGCCUCUGUAAUAAUUCAGUUAAUGUCCACAAUUAUUCUCAGGAUUUAUAAAAAAUGAUUUAGUGUCUAAAACUAAAUCAAAACAAACUACAGAAAAUAGAAAUAGAAAAGAGGAAAUAAAAGAAAGGGAGAGAAGGCCACCAGGCCACCUACCUAACUUACCUGGCGCCCACUUACCUGGCCCAGCACGGCCCAGCCCAUCUCCACUCCCCAUGUCGUCUUCCUCCUCGCCAGAAGGACCGAGGCGUGGCGCGCGCCCGAGAGGCCUCGGCCACCUCCUGCUUCCCCUGGCCACCUCCUGCUUCCUCCUCGACGCCCCGGUGACGCCACGCGCCUCCCCGACCCCCUCUCACCUCUCCCUCACUCGCUGCACCCUCUCUCCCUCCCCUGACUCCCUUCCCCGAGCUCACCCGAGAGUCGCCGUCACCGCCGUUCGCCAUAGCCGCAGCCACCGGCCCUCCCUCGCCCUUCCGCCAGUUCCAGAAGCUCCGCCGCUGACCUCUACACCGUCCCCGCCAAGCCACACGAGCGGACGCGCCCUGCAGCGGCUUCCCCGACCUCUUCUUCAAGCUUCGGCCGCCGAGAUCGCCGGCGAUCGUGUGCCCUCCCUGACGCCUCCCCGAGCUCCCCGAGGCCACCAUCGCAACCCCUGUGAGCCUCCGGUCGAUUCCCCUCUUCUCCCCGCGUCGAUUUCGCGCCCUAGCCACAGAUGCACAUAGCCGAGUUGUGCUCGCCGCCGGCGAAGUCGUCACCAUGGCUUGAGCAAGCCCAGCUUGCCCCUGAGCAUGUCAUCGCGCUCGCGCUGCUCCCAGGAGCCGAUCUAGCCCACCCGUUCGUCUCACCGUGCACCACAACGCCGAUUCCAAGCACACCCGAACUCCGGCCGCCGCCUUGGAGCUCGCCGUCGUCGACUCCGGCCACCAUAGGUCCGGCCACCACCACCGUUCGACGCGUGCCACUGCGUGCGUUUGAAUGCAACUAACCAUGCUCGAAAUGAUGCCCUGAGGGCGAUUUCCGAAGCCCGCCGCCGCAUCUGGCCUCGCCGGCGUCAUGUCGCCGGUGGGGUUGACCCACUUGACCGCGGCGGAACCCCCCUGGGUCGAUGACAGGUGGGGCCAGCCCCUGUUAAUUAGUUUAGGUGUUAGAUUAGUUAACACUAAUUAAUUUAGUUAAUUAUUUAAGCCACUGACAUGUGGGCCCAGCCCCGCUGACAUUUUCGUUAGUAUUAGUUUAACCCUAAUCAACCCGGUUAACCAACUGAGUCACUGACCAGUGGACCCCACUGGUCAGGUUUGACCAGCAGCAGCGUCUGUUGACCUGCUGACGUCAUAGUGACGCAAUGCUGGCGCAAUAAGUAUUUUCUGGAUUUAUUAUUAUUCAGGAAAUUUCAGAAAAUAGCUAAAACUUCAAUAAAUCAUAGAAAAUUAACCGUAACUCCAAAUGAAAUAAUUUAUAUAUGAAAAAUUAUCAGAAAAAUUCAAGGAAUCCAUCUGUACCAUUUUCAUGCAUGUUUGAACAAUGUUUGUCCUCUGUUUUGGACAAAACAAAUUAAGGGCAUUUAAAUAAUCAUAUAUGGAGUUUGAAUUUGAAUCUUGUAUUCAAACCAACUUCAUUUAAAUCAUAGCUAGUUGCAUUAGCUCAAAACACAUUCAUAUUGCCAAGUCAUGAGCAUGCAUCAUAUUGUGCAUUGCAUUGAUUGUGUUCUUUCUCUGUUGCCGGUGUUUGUCCCCUCUCGAUAGACGUGUACCGGCGAUGUGAUCGAUGACACCGAUGAAGAGCUAUAUUAUCUUCAGAAGUGCCAGGCAAGCAAAACCCCCUUGUUUAUUCCGAUACAAUCCCACUCUCUCGCUCCUGCUCUCUUUUACUGCAUUAGGACAACAACGAUUCAUCUGUUACUUGCUGUGGUAGCUGAACCCCUUUAUCCUUUGCAUGACCUGUCAUUCCACAGUAAAUAGAUGAAACCCACUAGUAUGAGUAGGAGUUGUUUGAGCCCUGUUGUGCCUACUCAUUCAUGUUUGUUUGUCAUGCCUGCUACUGCUUAGAGUUGAGUCAGGUCUGAUUCAUCGGGGAUGAAUCAGAGGUGUGUGAACAUGUCCUACUAUGUGUGAGCUAAGUGUGUGAACACGAUUUGGUAAAAGGUAUCGGUGAGAGGCCAUGUAGGAGUACAUGGUGGGUUGUCUCAUUGAAGCCGUCCUCAGGAACUGAGUUCUGUGUUUGUGAUCCAUGAUUCAGCUACUACCAUACAUUGGGCCCUGAAAUAUGACCCCGCUCGACUUCUUAUUCACCCUAGUCCUCUGNNNNNNNNNNGAACCCUGUUCACAUCGUUUGGGGCUGUGAGCGAAACUCCGGCCGGAUCUCCUCAUGGAUGGAACCCGAAUAGGCGAUAAACCUGGACUAGAGACUCGAGUGUUUAGGUAGGUCGUGGUCUACACCCACGUCGGCUUUCGCUUGAAGUCUGCCGAGCACAUGUCGUGUGCAGACGCUAAGUGGUGGAAACAUGUAUGAAGAAGUACACCCCUGCAGGGUUAAUAUCAUCUAUUCGAAUAGCCGUGUCCGCGGUAAAGGACUUCUGGGUUGCUUAUAUCAGUUCAUAGACAAGUGAAAGUGGAUACCCUAAAAUACGCAAGAUAAGCGUGAGUGCUAUGGAUGGCGUUCCCGUAGGGAGACGGGAGCGGAUCCAUAGUGGUGUAUUGAUAUCGUGAAUAUGUGGACUCGUGUGCGCCACCUCAAAAGAGUUACAUUGCAGUCGUAGUUCAGGAUAGCCACCGAGUCAAAGCUGGCUUGCUGCAGUUAAACCCCACCAUCCCCUUUGUUGAUAAUGAUGCAUAUGUAGUUAGUUCUGAUGUAAGUCUUGCUGGGUACAAUUGUACUCACGUUUGCCUAUUUUAUGUUUUUGCAGAGAGACUUCGGUCUCGCUAGUAGUUUCGCGUGGACUUCGACGUUUAGCUUGUUACCUCAGCUACGAUCUUGUGCCUCGGCAGGAUUUGGUAGAUAGCCAGGCUUCUCAGCCGUUUUCAUUUAUAGAUGUCUGUACUCAGACAUGAUAGCUUCCGCUUGUGCUUUGACUUGUAUGCUCUGAUUGUUGGGUCAUGAGACCCCUGUUUGUAAUAUCUCGCUCCUCGGAGCCUAAUAAAUACUUGAGUUGUAGAGUCAUGUUGUGAUGCCAUGUUGUAUUUGCACAUAUCGAGCAUAUUGUGUGUAUGUUAUUGAAAUGCUUGGCAUGUGUGGGAUCUGACUAUCUAGUUGUUUAUCCUUAGUAGCCCCUCUUACUGGGAAAUGUCUCCUAGUGUUUCCACUGAGCCAGGGUAGCUUGCUACUGCUCCGGAACACUUAGGCUGGCCGGCAUGUGUCCUUCUUCGUUCCUGUGUCUGUCCCUUCGGGGAAAUGUCACGCGAUGAAUACCGGAGUCCUGUUAGCCCGCUACAGCUCGGCUCACCGGAGUCCUGCUAGCCCAGUGCUACAGCCUGGAUUCACUCGCUGAUGACCGACAUGUUCGAUGCUGGGUCAUGUAUGCCUGUCCCUGUAAGUCUGUGCCACUUUGGGUUUACGACUAGCCAUGUCAGCCCGGGCUCCUUAUCAUAUGGAUGCUAGCACACUAUCAUAUACGUGUGCCAAAAGGUGCAAACGGUCCCGGGCAAAGGUAAGGCGACACCCGUGGGAAUACUGUGCGUGAGGCCGCAAAGUGAUAUGAGGUGUUACAUGCUAGAUCGAUGUGGCAUUGAGUCGGGGUCCUGAUAGUCCUGGAGGCCAUGCCUCGCUCUCCGAUCAGAAGUCCUUAUUCGGUGUUGAAUUGCCAGCCAAGCAAAAUUUUGCACUUGAGGAGGGCCCAACUCUUCCAAAUGCAUGCGGCGUAAGGGACCCUCUCAGUGCCAAAACAGAGCCUUAGGUAUGUGGAUUUAGCCGUGUAACCACCGGAAGGAUCGGCUGGCCAAGAGAAAGAAUCUUCCGCAAGGGGCUCCUGGUUCACCGUGCUGAUCGCAAGAUUUAGGUGAAGUAGUUGCAAGUGGCCACCAAAGUUAACUACACCGGAUAUGUCAUGCAACCAACUAUCGUUUUGCAAGCCGUCCUCAACUGUGCGACGGUUGAUCGUUCUCAUGUCAACCAAGGCAUAAAUGUACGGUGCAAUGUCCUUGACCGCAAAGCCGUGUAUCCACCUAUCUCUCCAGAACAGCACUCUGUUGCCCAUACCGACCUCAAUGUGUACCAAACUAUCAAAGACCGCUCGUGCCUUUUUGUCCACGGCCAUUGGAAGCCUUUGCCACGGCCUCUCCGGGUCUGUCCUUCUCAGCCACUCCCAUCUCACUCUUAAAGCCAAGCCUUGUAAUUGCAUGUUGCGCACACCCAAACCUCCGAGCCACGUGGGUUUGCACACCGAGUUCCAAGCCACCAGACACUGACCACCGUGAACUUUAUCUUUUCCGGCCCAGAAGAAGGAGCGCAUCCAUUUGUCUAACUCCUCAAACACCCAAGCAGGGGCGUCCGUAACCAUGAAGUGGUGGAUAGGCUUGGCAGAGAUUACAGACUUAACCAGCACCAAGCGUCCAGGACGAUGCAACAGCCCUCUCUGCCAGGCCGGGGCAAACUUCUUGGCGUGGUCGAUCAUUGGCUGCCAUUCCGCCCUAGAGAGCUGACGGAUGGCCAAUUGAAGGCCAAGGUACUUACAUGGGAAACUCCCCAUCCGACAAUGCAAAAUGGACUCGACCCGAUCCCGGUCAUCGUCGUUCCCAUGGAUCAUGAUAGCCGGCGACUUCUGAUAGUUGACCCGUAGGCCAGAAGUAGCACCAAAAGUGUGUAGCACGGAUCUGACGAACGUAAGGUCCAACACCCUGGGUUUGACGAACAUCGCCAUGUCAUCCGCAUAGAUCGACACUGAUUGGUGGGCAGCGAUGCCAGUGAAGCUCCUGCCAACACCAAAACUCUCAGCCUUGAUCAUGAUUCUAGAAAGCACAUCCAUGGCGAUCACGAAGAGCAAAGGCGAAACCGGGUCACCCUGCCUCAGGCCCUUGGCAUGGGUGAAACUUCUGCCAGGUACUCCAUUAACAAUCACCCUGGUGCUAGCCGUUUUGAGGAGGAUCGAGAUCCAAGUGCACCACUUGUGGCCAAAGCCUUUUCUCCUCAUCACCUCAAACAAAAACGCCCAGUUGAGUGAGUCGAAGGCCCUCGAUAUGUCAAGCUUCAAAAACACGCUGGCCUCCUUACGCGCAUGAAUCUUCCUGGCAACUUGUCUAACAAGAAGAAAGUUGUCGUGCAAGUGUCUUCCACAAAUAAAGGUGGAUUGAUUAGCCGUGACUAUCUCCUUCAUUCUUCUUCGGGCUCUACUCACAAGCAACUUUGCAAAAAUCUUGGCCACACUAUGGGGAAGGCUGAUGGGGCGAUAGUCUCCCACUUCUUCGGUGUCCGGUUUCUUCGGGAUCAGCACAAUAUGAGCGCGGUUAAGCUUGCCGAAGCCACGUCCAUCACCCACAUAGAGCUUUAGAAGCAUCGACAUAACUUCGUUCUUGAUAGUGGGCCAGGCUUUUUGAUAGAAAGCUGCGCUGAAUCCAUCCGGCCCUGGCGCCCGAUCUGGGUGCAAUUCUUUGAUGGUAUUCCACACCUCCUCCUCCGUAAAGAUCGCAUCAAGCUCCACGAGGUCAUGCCCUGCCAUGUCAAGGAAAUCCAUAUCCACAUCUACCUCCCUGGCAGCGGCACGACCCAGCAACUGCUCAUAGGCUUCGGUGAAGAUCUCCUCCUUCCUCUCCUGAUGGUAAAUCAAUUCCCCAUUGUGUCUAAUAUGGGGGAUGAAGUUCUUAGAUCUCCGUCUGUUAGCCACUGCUUGGAAAAGUUUAGUAUUGGCAUCUCCUUCUCGGAUCCAUCUAAGUCUGGAGCGUUGUCUUUCAAUGAUGCAUUGAAGGGAGGCGAGUCCAAGGACCGAAUGCUUAAGGGACCUCCUCAACCAUCUCUCCGUCCAAUUGAGAACCCGGGCCUCCAUAGCUCUGUCCAGCCUAUGUAUGACAUAGUUCGCCACGGCCAACUGAAUUUUGAUGUUCCCCGCCUUCUUUUGGCCCCAGGCUUGAAGGGCAGAAGCGGUGUUCCUGAGCAACUGAUCAAGCCUCUUGAAAGGGUCAACAAUAUCACCUUCACACACCCAUGCGUCUUUGACAGCCUGCUCGAAUCCUUCCAAACAAGUCCAAAAGAGCUCAAAACGAAACCUGCGCUUCGGGCAGAAGGGGGCCGAAGCGGAAAGAUGGAGGGGCACGUGGUCCGAGAUGUUGGUGGAGAGAGCUUGAAGCAGCACGUCUGGGAAAUUGAGCUCCCAGUCCACGGAGACAAGCACCCGAUCGAUCUUGGUCAUAACCACCUGCUCUCUCUCGUUAGACCAUGUGAACCUCCUGCCAUGCAUGUAAAUCUCUUUGAGUUCAUUGUUGUCCACGAACGAAUUGAACUUCCUCAUCAUGCUCCUAUUUAGGUUAGAGUUGCUUUUCUCCUCGGCUCUAAUGAUCAUGUUGAAGUCUCCAAGCACCAUCCAGGGGCCCGGAGACACAUCCCUUCUAAGUUGAAGAUCAACGAGAAACUGGGUUUUAAGCUCAUCGCCUUGAGGCCCGUACACGACCGAUAACCACCACUCAAAGCCGUCGUUAUUACGGACCAGGCCCGAGAGGAAGUUGGUGUCCAGGGAGAUGUUUCUAAUAGCCAGAACCGUGCUGUCCCACCCCAAAAGGAUUCCUCCCCUAGUGUCAGAAGCAGGUAAGUAGGCAAAACCAUCAAAGGAUGGUCCAUGCAUUGUAUAACCAAGAAGGGAUCAAAAGCUACAAGCUUGGUUUCUUGAAGACAUACAAGGUUGACCUUAGCUGCGACUACGAACUCCCUAACAGCAUGCCUCUUGGCGGGGUUGUUAAGCCCUCUCAUGUUCCAGCAUAGAAUUUGGGGGUUCCAAUCCAUGGAAAUCAACGAAACACCCACACCCACGGGGGCAAGCAAGCUCAAGCCGCUCCCACGAGCACUGUGGUCCCGAAGCUCAACUCAGGAGCCGGCGGAACCUCCUUGCCAAACAAAGCCGCGAUCACCCUGACGUGUUGCUCACGUAGAGGGGAGUCAAAGAGCUCGGCCAGCUCAGCUAUCGAAUCGUCGUUGCCCUCCAUAUCCUCCGGAACCAGACCUAGAUCUUGCAUAAGUACAUUCUCAGCCUGCGUGGCCUUGGAUUUCCCAGCCGGAGCCCUCUUGGCGCUGCGAGUCGUCCUUCGAGGGGUGAAAGGCUCAGCAUCCAGCCUAAGUGAUGACUGCACCUCGAGAAGGAGCAGAGGAGCCAACUUCUUAACCAACGCGUUGCAGAACCAUUUGAGCUUGCCAAAUGCUAUCACCUCCUGGGGUGUCAUGCCCCCCUCUCCCUCCGGAAUCUAAUUUUGCAUGGCCUGGUUAACGUUCGGAAUUGCCUGGACCAGUGCAAGUUCCUGAGAAGGCGCCACUUGUAACUGCACGUCCGCACAAACGGGAGAGACAGCCCCAAUCAUGGGCGAAUCUUCAUGUCGCUGUGGGGGCGCCAACGGGUUGGCCACCACGCCCGAGCCAAACAGGGGCGCGUCCACCAAAGCCAUCAGUCCCACCAAAGCCUCUGAUCCCACGUCCAAAGCCUCCUCAUGAGCCACGGGCGGGUCCACCACGAUCACUCCCAGGGUCGUUUGGGUUCGAUAAUGAAGUGGAAUGAAAUGUCGUAGUUUUAUUUCACUGAGUUGAUUUUAUUUUUUUAGUUUUUAGCCUCAUUUGAUUGAAUGGAAUUGUUACAUUACUAGAAUGUUUGGUUUGAGAGAGAGAAUGGAAUGGAUUUGAUUCACCUCGCCUCCUGUAUAAAAAUGGUGAUGUUAUUUCUGCUCUCACAUGCAAAUGCACAAUAUAAACAAAUAUUGCUCUUUAUAUUUUUAGAAACAUAUUAUUAAAAAAAUUAGUAGUAUUCACAUUGAAUUGGAACAUAAUUCACGGUAUUUCUUGUUGAGCGGGACACAUACAAAGGUAGGGAAAUCAUCAACAAGCACACAAACAAGCAAAAUUGCACACAAUGCUAGGCGCAGAUAAAGCUAACACGACAGACGCACCUGAACAAACAAAGUGAUCUGGAAAUUGGUUCCCUACAUCAAGGACCUACAACUGAUGAUGGAAAUUGGAGCGGGUCUGGAAAAUGGUUGCCUACGAGUGCGACAGAUACGACGGCAAGCAACGACCGUAACCCUAAAGCAUAAACCUAACCCUAACCCUAAACCACUAAACGCUAAACCCUAAACCAUGGUCUACCGCUGAAUUGGUUGUGCAUCUGCAAGAGUGUGAAUUUCGGGCUGCAUCACGCGGAGAUGAGAUGUAUUCUAAAGUUCACACCCUUGCGGAUGCUAAUUUUCAUUUUGGAGCGGUGUGGAGGCACAAUGCUUGUCAAAAUGCCACUACGGCCAUCAUAAUCUCCUCACACCCUCGCACAAUGCAAGAUGUCGUGAUUCCAACUAAGGGACCCUUGAGGGUGGUCACCGAACCCGUAAAAUUGGCAACCCUUGGGGUGGUCACCGAACUCGUACAAAUUGCUUGGCGCAAUCUCUGCAAUCUAAUUGGAGACCCAAAGCUUGCUUGGAUCUUUACACCACAAUGAUUGAGCUCCUCGACACCACCAACCGUCUAGGGCGCGAAAGCACCCAAGAGGCACAAGCUCUAGGGUGCCCAAGCACCCAAGAGUAAUAAGCUCCUUAACUUUCACUUCCACGUAUCACCGUGGAGAUGCCCGUGCUCUACCGCUUGGGGGAGCAGUGCUACCGCUUAGAGCGGUAGUUCCAGUGCCAGCUAGUGUGUACUUCAGAGUACAAACAUGGUAGUUCCACCGGAGCAGUACUACUGGCUAUAGUGAGCGCUACUACUGCUAAAUGUCACUGGAUGCAGAGGGACCAGCGACAGUAAAAAGGGCAACAGAGUAAAAAGGGGCUGCUAAAUGUUAAGCGAUACUACUGUAUACAACUGUCCAACUACUGCAAGAGUAAAAAGAGCAACAGAGGCUUGCACACCUCUCGAAAGCAAGUGGUAGUAGAAAACGGAAGUAGCGCACAAGCAGUACUACCGUGCUACUAUCGUGAGCUAACGAGAGAUGUGCAGAAAGAAAAUUCCAAGCGGUAGCGGACUCACAGCGGAAGUAUCCCCCAAGUGGUUGUCGGUGCUAAAACCAGCGGAUCUCAGGUAGGGGUCCCGAGCUGGUGAUCUAGGAAUGAUGGUGACAGGGGGAAACGGGAGACGAUGUUUACUCAGGUUCGGGCCCUCUCGAAGAGGUAAAACCCUACGUCCUGCUUGAUUAUAUUGAUGUGAUGCAGUAUCGAGUACAAGAUGAUCUACCUUGAGAUCGUAUGUUGUGUUCUAAACCCUAAGGCUAGUAAGUGUAUCUCUAAAGACUAAACCCCACGGCUUAUAUACACACCAGGGGUUCCUAGGUUACACAUAUGGUCGAUGGCCAGACAUGUCGGCUGGUGAGCUAUCCUUGAAGCGCACACCAAGUCUUCGGAGGUUUCCAUCUUGAUCAUGCCGAGGUUCAUAGCUUCUGGAGUCCUUCCUUGUGGAGAUCAGCGGGCUGUAAGCUCGACCCAUGGGCUGUGGGUCGUAUAGGUUAGCACCCCCUAGUCCAGGACACCGUCAGUAGCCCCUGAAUUUGUCUUCAAAGCCGAGGAUGAAAGCUCCAUCCUCGGACCUGAAGGAAAUAUGCCCUAGAGGCAAUAAUAAGGUUGUUAUUUAUAUUCCCUUGUACCAUGAUAAAUGUUUAUUAUUCAUGCUAGAAUUGUAUUAACCGGAAACUUAGUACAUGUGUGCAUACAUAGAUAAACAGAGUGUCCCUAGUAUGCCUCUACUUGACUAGCUCGUUAAUCAAAGAUGGUUAAGUUUUCUGACCAUAGACAUGUGUUGUCAUUUGAUGAACGGGAUCACAUCAUUAGAGAAUGAUAUGAUGGACAAGACCCAUCCGUUAGCUUAACAUAAUGAUCGUUUAGUUUUAUUGCUAUUGCUUUCUUCAUGACUUAUACAUGUUCCUCUGACUAUGAGAUUAUGCAACUCCCGAAUACCGGAGGAACACCUUGUGUGCUAUCAAACGUCACAACUUAACUAGGUGAUUAUAAAGAUGCUCUACAAGUGUCCCCGAUGGUGUUUGUUGAGUUGGCAUAGAUCGAGAUUAGGAUUUGUCACUCCGUGAACUGUAGAGGCAUCUCUGGGCCCUCUCGGUAAUGCACAUCACUAUGAGCCUUGCAAGGAAUGUGACUAAUGAGUUAGUUACGGAAUGAUGCAUUACGAAACGAGUAAAUAGACUUGCGAUAAUGAGAUUGAACUAGGUAUGAGGAUACAGACGAUCGAAUCUCAGGCAAGUAACAUACAGAUCACAAAGGGAAUGACGUAUGUUGUUAUGCGAUUUGACCGAUAAAGAUAUUCGUAGAAUAUGUAGGAGCCAAUAUGAGCAUCCAGGUUCCGCUAUUGGUUAUUGACCGGAGAUGUGUCUCGGUCAUGUCUGCAUAGUUCUCGAACCUGUAGGGUCCACACGCUUAACAUUCGAUGACGAUUUGUAUUAUGAGUUAUGUGAUUUGAUGACCGAAGUUUGUUCGGAGUCCAGGAUGAGAUCACGGACAUGACGAGGAGUCUCGAAAUGGUCGAGAGGUAAAGAUUCAUAUAUUGGAAGGUUGCACUUGGACAUCAGAAUGGUUCUAAGACGUUUGGGCAUUUUUCCGGAGUACGAGGAGGUUACCGAAACCCCCCGGGGAAGUUAAUGGGCCUUAGUGGGCUUUAGUGGAGAGAGGGAAGAAGGGCCGCGAGGUGGCGUGCGCCUCCCCCUUGCCCAAACCAAAUUGGACUAGGGGUGGGGCCUCAGCCCCCUCCUUCCUUCUCCUUCUCCCCUCCUUCCUUUUCCUCUGGUGGAAGAAAUGAAAAGGGGGGGGGGGUGAAUCCUACUUGGACUAGGAGUCCAAGUAGGACUCCCCCUGGCGCGCCCAACCUGGCCGGCCUCCUCUCGCCCUCCCUCCUUUAUAUACGUGUCCAGGGGGCACCCUAAUAGCACAAACAGACAAUCUCUUAGCCGUGUGCGGUGCACCCCUCCACAGUUUAACACCCCGAUCAUAUCGUCAUAGUGCUGAGGUGAAGCCCUGCGCCGGUAACUUCAUCAUCACCGUCGGCACGCCAUCGUGCCGACGGAAAUCUCCCUCGUCCUCAACUGGAUCAAGAGCUCGAGGGAUGUCAUUGUGAUGAACGUGUGCUGAACACGGAGGUGUCGUACGUUUGGUACUUGGAUCGGUUGGAUCGUGAAGACGUUCGACUACAUCAACCGCGUUACUAAACGCUUCCGCUUUCAGUCUACGAGGAUACGUGGACACACUCUCCCCUCUUGUUGUUAUGCAUCUCCUAGAUAGAUCUUGCGUGAUCGUAGGAAUUUUUUUGAAAUACUAUGUUCCCCAACAGUGGUAUCAAAGCCAGGUCGAUGCGUAGAUGUUAUAUGCACGAGUAGAACACAAAGAGUUGCGGGCAAUAAUAGUCAUACUGCUUACCACCAACGUCUUACUUUGAUUUGGCGGUAUUGUUGGAUGAAGCGGCCCCGACCGACAUUACAUGACCGCAUUCAUGAGACUUGUUCUACCGACGUGCUUCGCACAUAGGUGGCUGGCGGGUGUCUGUUUCUCCAACUUUAGUUGAAUCGAGUUUGACUACGGUCGGUCCUUGUUGAAGGUUAAAACAACACACUUGACGAAAAAUCAUUGUGGUUUUGAUGCGUAGGUAAGAACGGUUCUUGCUAGAAGCCCGUAGAAGCCACGUAAAACUUGCAACAACAAAGUAGAGGACGUCUAACUUGUUUUUGCAGGGCAUGUUGUGAUGUGAUAUGGUCAAGACGUGAUGAGAUAUAAAUUGUUGUAUGAGAUGAUCAUGUUUUGUAAAAGUUAUCGACAACUGGCAGGAGACUUAUGGUUGUCACUUUAUUGUAUGAAAUGUAAUUGCCAUACUUUAUCACUAAGCGGUAGCGAUAGUCGUAGAAGCAAUAGUUGGCAAGACGACAACGAUGCUACGAUGGAGAUCAAGGUGUCAACCCGGUGACGAUGGAGAUCAUGACGGUGCUUUGGAGAUGGAGAUCAAAGGCGCAAGAUGAUGAUGGCCAUAUCAUGUCACAUAUUUUGAUUGCAUGUGAUGUUUAUCCUUUAUGCAUCUUAUUUUGCUUAGUACGGCGGUAGCAUUAUAAGAUGACCCCUCACUAAAUUUCAAGGUACAGGUGUUCUCCUGAGUAUGCAUCAUUGCUAUAGUUCGUCGUGCCGAGACACCACGUGAUGAUCGGGUAUGAUAAGCUCUACGUUAACAUACAACGGGUGCAAGCCAGUUUUGCACGUGCAGAAUACUUGGGUUAAACUUGACGAGCCUAGCAUAUGCAAAUAUGGCCUCGGAACACUGAGACUGAAAGGUCGAGCGUGAAUCAUAUAGUAGAUAUGAUCAACAUAGUGAUAUUCACCAUUGAAAACUACUCCAUCUCACGUGAUGAUCGGACAUGGUUGUGAUCAUUUAGAUGACUAGAGGGAUCUCUAUCUAAAUGGGAGUUCUUAAGUAAUAUGAUUAAUUGAACUUUAAUUUACCAUGAACUUAGUAUCUGAUAGUAUUUGCAUGUCUCUGUUAUUGUAGAUCAAUAUGACCCGUGCUACCGUUCCUUUGAAUUUUAAUGCGUUUCUAGAGAAAGCUAAGUUGAAAGAUGAUGGCAGCAACUACAUGGACUAGGUUCGUAACUUGAGGAUUAUCCUCAUUGCUGCACAGAAGAAUUACGUCCUCGAAGCACCGCUAGGUGCCAAACCCGCUGUAGGAGCAACUCCGGAUGUUAUGAACGUCUGGCAGAGCAAAGCUGAUGACUACUCGAUAGUUCACUGUGCCAUGCUUUACGGCUUAGAAUCGGGACUUCAAAGAUGUUUUGAAUGUCAUGGAGCAUAUGAGAUGUUCCAGGAGUUGAAGUUGAUAUUUCGAGCAAAUGCCCGAGUUGAGAGAUAUGAAGUCUCCAACAAGUUCUAUAGCUGCAAAAUGGAGGAGAAUAUAGUUCUGUCAGUGAACACAUACUCAGAAUGUCUGGGUACCAUAACCACUUCACUCAGCUGGGAGUUAAUCUUCCUGAUGAUAGUGUCAUUGACAUAGUUCUUCAAUCACUACCACCAAGCUAUAAAGGCUUUGUGAUGAACUAUAAUAUGCAAGGGAUGCAAAAGACAAUUCCCGAGCUCUUCGUGAUGCUAAAGGUUGCAGAGGUAGAAAUCAAGAAGGAGCAUAAAGUGUUGAUGGUGAACAAGACCACUAGUUUCAAGAAAAAGGGCAAAGGGAAGAAGGCAAACUUCAAGAAGAACAGCAAGCCAGUUGCUGCUCAAGGGAGGAAGCCCAAGUCUGGACCUAAGCCUGAGACUGAGUGCUUCUACUUCAAAGGAACUGGUCACUAGAAGCGGAACUGCCCCAAGUAUUUGGCGGAUAAGAAGGAUGGCAAAGUGAAAGGUAUAUUUGAUAUACAUGUUAUUGACGUGUACCUUACUAAUGCUCGUAGUAGCGCCUGGGUAUUUGAUACUGGUUCUGUUGCUCAUAUUUGCAGCUCGAAACAAGGGCUACAUAUUAAACGAAGAUUGGCUAAGGACGAGUUGAGAAUGCGCGUUGGGAAUGGUUCCAAAGUCGAUGUGAUUGCCUCGGCAUGCUACCUCUAGAUUUCUACCGUCCAGAUUAGUUUUAGACCUAAAUAAUUGUUAUUUGGUGCCAGCGUUGAGCAUGAACAUUAUAUCUGGAUCUUGUUUGAUGCGAGACGGUUAUUCAUUUAAAUCAGAGAAUAAUGGUUGUUCUAUUUAUAUGAGUAAUAUCUUUUAUGGUAAUGCGCCCUUGAUGAGUGGUCUAUUUUUGUUGAAUCUCGAUUUUAGUGAUGCACAUAUUCAUAAUAUUGAAGCCAAAAGAUGCAAGGUUAAUAAUGAUAGUGCAACUUAUUUGUGGCACUGCCAUUUAGGUCAUAUUGGUGUAAAGCGCAUAAAGAAACUCCGUGCUGAUGGGCUUUUGGAAUCACUCAAUUAUGAAUCACUUGAAGCUUGUGAACCAUGCCUCAUGGGCAAGAUGACUAAGACUCUGUUCUCCGGAACAAUGGAACGAGCAACUGACUUAUUGGAAAUAAUACAUACUGAUGUAUGCGGUCCGAUGAGUGUUGAGGCUCGCGGCGGGUAUCAUUAUUUUCUGACCUUCACAGAUGGUUUGAGCAGAUAUGGGUAUAUCUACUUAAUGAAACAUAAGUCUGAAACAUUUGAAAAGUUCAAAGAAUUUCAGAGUGAAGUGGAAAAUCAUCGUAACAAGAAAAUAAAGUUUCUGUGAUCUGAUCGUGGAGGUGAAUAUUUGAGUUAUGAGUUUGGUCUUCAUUUGAAACAAUGUGGAAUAGUUUCGCAACUCACGCCACCUGGAACACCACAGCGUAAUGGUGUGUCCGAACGUCGUAACUGUACUUUAUUAGAUAUGGUAUGAUCUAUGAUGUUUCUUACUGAUUUACCGCUAUCAUUUUGGGGUUAUGCUUUAGAGACAGCUGCAUUCACGUUAAAUAGGGCACCAUCUAAAUCCAUUGAGAUGACACCAUAUGAACUGUGGUUUGGCAAGAAACUUAAGCUGUCGUUUCUUAAAGUUUGUGGGCUGCGAUGUGCUACAUCUUUUAGCACUGCGUUGGUUUUCCCUGAAGAGGAAGGGAUGAUGCAGCAAAGUAGCGUAAGUAUUUCCCUCAGUUUUUGAGAACCAAGGUAUCAAUCGAGUAGGAGGCUACGCGUGAGUCCCUCGCACCUGCACAAAACAAAUAAAUCCUCGCAACCAACACAAAUAGGGGUUGUCAAUCCCUAUAAGUCCACUUAUGAGAGUGAGAUCUGAUAGAUAUGAUAAGAUAAUAUUUUUGGUAUUUUUAUGAUAAAGAUGCAAAGUAAAAUAAAGGCAAAGUAAAUAACUAAGUAGUAGGAGAUCAAUAUGAUAAAGAUAGACCCGGGGCCAUAGGUUUCACUAGUGGCUUCUCUCGAGAGCAUAAGUAUCUUACGGUGGGUGAACAAAUUACUAUUAAGCAAUUGACAGAAUUGAGCAUAGUUAUGAGAAUAUCUAGGUAUGAUCAUGUAUAUAGGCAUCACGUCCGAGACAAGUAGACCGACUCCUGCCUGCAUCUACUACUAUUACUCCACUCAUUGACCACUAUCUAGCAUGCAUCUAGAGUAUUAAGUUAAAAAUAGAGUAACGCCUUAAGCAAGAUGACAUGAUGUAGAGGGAUAGACUCAUGCAAUAUGAAGAAAACCCCAUCUUGUUAUCCUCGAUGGCAACAAUACAAUACAUGCCUUGCUGCCCUUACUGUCACCGGGAAAGGACACCGCAAGAUUGAACCCAAAGCUAAGCACUUCUCCUAUUGAAAGAAAGAUCAAUCUAGUAGGCCAAACCAAACUGAUAAUUCGAAGAGACUUGCAAAGAUAACCAAUCAUACAUAAAAGAAUUCAGAGAAGAUUCAAAUAUUAUUCAUAGAUAGACUUGAUCAUAAACCCACAAUUCAUCGGUCUCAACAACACACCUCAAAAAGGAGAUUACAUCGAAUAGAUCUCCACAAGAGAGGGGGAGAACAUUGUAUUGAGAUCCAAAAAGAGAGAAGAAGCCAUCUAGCUACUAACUAUGGACCAAUAGGUCUGAGGUAAACUACUCACACUUCAUCGGAAGGGCUAUGGUGUUGAUGUAGAAGCCCUCUGUGAUCGAUGCCCCCUCCGACGGAGCUCCGAAACAGGCCCCAAGAUGGGAUCUCGUGGAUAUAGAAAGUUACGGCGGUGGAAUUAGGGUUUUGGCUCCGUAUCUGAUCGUUUGGGGGUACGUGGGUAUAUAUAGGAGGAAGAAGUACGUCGGUGGAGCAACAGGGGGCCCACGAGGGUGGAGGGCGCGCAUGGGGGGGUAGGCGCGCCCCUACUUCAUGGCCUCCUGUUACGUGGCUUGACGUAGGGUCCAAGUCUCCUGAGUUGUAUUCGAUGAGAAAAUCACGUUCCCGAAGGUUUCAUUCUGUUUGGACUCCGUUUGAUAUUCCUUUUCUUCGAAACCCUAAAACAGGCAAAAACCAGCAAUUCUGGGCUGGGCCUCCGGUUAAUAGGUUAGUCCCAAAAAUAAUAUAAAAGUAAAUAAUAAAGCCCAAUAAUGUCCAAAACAGUAGAUAAUAUAGCAUGGAGCAAUAAAAAAUUAUAGAUACGUUGGAGACGUAUCAAGCAUCCCCAAGCUUAAUUCCUGCUCGUCCUCGAGUAGGUAAAUGAUAAAAAGAUAAUUUUUGAUGCGGAGUGCUAGUUGGCAUAAUUUCAAUGUAAUUCUUCUUACUUGUGAUAUGAAUAUUCAGAUCCGAAAGAUUCAAGACAAAAGUUCAUAUUGACAUAGAAAUAAUAAUACUUCAAGCAUACUAACUAAGCAAUCAUGUCUUCUCAAAAUAACAUGGCCAAAGAAAGCUAUCCCUACAAAAUCAUAUAGUCUGGCUAUGCUCUAUCUUCAACACACAAAAUAUUUAAAUCAUGCACAACCCCGAUGACAAGCCAAGCAAUUGUUUCAUACUUUUGACAUCCUCAAAACUUUUCCAAUCUUCACGCAAUACAUGAGCGUGAGCCAUGGAUAUAGCACUAUAGGUGGAAUAGAGUGGUGGUUGUGGAGAAGACAAAAAGGAGAAGAUAGUCUCACAUCAACUAGGCGUAUCAACGGGCUAUGGAGAUGCCCAUCAAUAGAUAUCAAUGUGAGUGAGUAGGGAUUGCCAUGCAACGGAUGCACUAGAGCUAUAAGUAUAUGAAAGCUCAAAAAGAAACUAAGUGGGUGUGCAUCCAACUUUCUUGCUCAUGAAGACCUAGGGCAAUUUGAGGAAGCCCAUCAUUGGAAUAUACAAGCCAAGUUCUACAAUGAAAAACUCCCACUAGUAUAUGAAAGUGAUAACAUGAGAGACUCUCUACUAUGAAGAUCAUGGUGCUACUUUGAAGCACAAGUGUGGUAAAAGGAUAGUAACAUUGUCCCUUCUGUCUUUUUCUCUCAUUUUUUUAUUUGGGCCUUUUCUCUUUUUUAUGGCCUCUUUUCUUUCUCCUUUUUUUAUUUGGGCUUCUUUGGCCUCUUUUAUUUAUUUUUUGUCCGGAGUCUCAUCCCGAUUUGUGGGGGAAUCAUAGUCUCCAUCAUCCUUUCCUCACUGGGACAAUGCUCUAAUAAUGAUGAUCAUCACACUUUUAUUUUUCUUACAACUUAACAAUUACAACUCGAUACUUAGAACAAAAUAUGACUCUAUGUGAAUGCCUCCGGCGAUGUACUGGGAUAUACAAUGAUGCAUGAGUGACAAGUAUGAAAGAAUUAUGAACGGUGGCUUUGCCACAAAUACUAUGUCAACUACAUGAUCAUGCUAAGCAAUAUGACAAUGAUGGAGUGUGUCAUAAACGGAACGGUGGAAAGUUGCAUGGCAAUAUAUCUCGGAAUGGCUAUGGAAAUGCCAUAAUAGGUAGGUAUGGUGGCUGUUUUGAGGAAGGUAUAUGGUGGGUGUAUGAUACUGGCGAAAAGGUGCGCGGUAUUAGAGAGGCUAGCAAAGGUGGAAGGGUGAGAGUGCGUAUAAUCCAUGGACUCAACAUUAGUCAUAAAGAACUCAUAUACUUAUUGCAAAAAUCUACAAGUUAUCAAAGCAAAGUAUUACGCGCAUGCUCCUAGGGGGAUAGAUUGGUAGGAAAAGACCAUCGCUCGUCCCCGACCGCCACUCAUAAGGAAGGCAAUCAAAAAAUAAAUCAUGCUCCGACUUCAUCACAUAACGGUUCACCAUACGUGCAUGCUACGAGAAUCAUAGGCUUCAACACAAGUAUUUCUCAAAUUCACAACUACUCAACUAGCAUGACUUUAAUAUCACCAUCUCCAUAUCUCAAAACAAUUAUCAAGUAUCAAACUUCUCAUAGUAUUCAACACACUCAUAAGAGAGUUUUAUUAUUAAUCUUGCAUACCAAGCAUAUUAGGAUUUUAAGCAAAUUACCAUGCUAUUAAGACUCUAAAAAUAAUCUAAGUGAAGUGAGAGAUCAAUAGUUUCUAUAAAACAAAUCCACCACCGUGCUCUAAAAGAUAUAAGUGAAGUACUAGAGCAAAAUUAUAUAACUCAAAAGAUAUAAGCGAAGCACAUAGAGUAUUCUAAAAAAUUCCAAAUCAUAUAUGGCUCUCUCAAAAGGUGUGUACAGCAAGGAUGAUUGUGGUAAACUAACAAGCAAAGACUCAAAUCAUACAAGACGCUCUAAGCAAAACACAUAUCAUGUGGUAAAUAAAAAUAUAGCUCCAAGUAAAGUUACCGAUAGAAGUAGAUGAAAAGGGGGGAUGCCUUCAGAGGCAUCCCCAAGAUUUGGCUUUUAGGUGUCCUUAGAUUAUCUUGGGAGUGCCAUGGGCAUCCCCAAGCUUAGGAUCUUGCCACUCCUUGUUCCAUAAUCCAUCAAAUCUUUACCCAAAACUUGAAAAAUUCACAACUCCAGUAAAUUUGAAAAAUUCACAACUCCAGUAAACUUGAAAAAUUCACAACUCCAGUAAUUCACAACUCCAGUAAAUAGCAAAGUAAAUAACUAAGUAGUAGGAGAUCAAUAUGAUAAAGAUAGACCCGGGGGCCAUAGGUUUCACUAGUGGCUUCUCUCGAGAGCAUAAGUAUCUUACGGUGGGUGAACAAAUUACUGUUGAGCAAUUGACAGAAUUGAGCAUAGUUAUGAGAAUAUCUAGGCAUGAUCAUGUAUAUAGGCAUCACGUCCGAGACAAGUAGACCGACUCCUGUCUGCAUCUACUACUAUUACUCCACUCAUCGACCGCUAUCCAGCAUGCAUCUAGAGUAUUAAGUUAAAAACAGAGAAACACCUUAAGCAAGAUGACAUGAUGUAGAGGGAUAGACUCAUGCAAUAUGAAGAAAACCCCAUCUUGUUAUCCUCGAUGGCAACAAUACAAUACGUGCCUUGCUGCCCUUACUGUCACCGGGAAAGGACACCGCAAGAUUGAACCCAAAGCUAAGCACUUCUCCUAUUGAAAGAAAGAUCAAUCUAGUAGGCCAAACCAAAUUGAUAAUUCGAAGAGACUUGCAAAGAUAACCAAUCAUACAUAAAAGAAUUCAGAGAAGAUUCAAAUAUUAUUCAUAGAUAGACUUGAUCAUAAACCCACAAUUCAUCGGUCUCAACAAACACACCACAAAAAGAAGAUUACAUCGAAUAGAUCUCCACAAGAGAGGGGGAGAACAUUGUAUUGAGAUCCAAAAAGAGAGAAGAAGACAUCUAGCUACUAACUAUGGACCCGUAGGUCUGAGGUAAACUACUCACACUUCAUCGGAAGGGCUAUGCUGUUGAUGUAGAAGCCCUCCGUGAUCGAUGCCCCCUCCGAUGGAGCUCCGGAACAGGCCCCAAGAUGGGAUCUCGUGGAUACAGAAAGUUACGGCGGUGGAAUUAGGGUUUUGGCUCCGUAUCUGAUCGUUUGGGGGUACGUGGGUAUAUAUAGGAGGAAGAAGUACGUCGGUGGAGCAACAGGGGGCCCACGAGGGUGNNNNNNNNNNNNNNNNNNNNNNNNNNNNNNNNNNNNNNNNNNNNNNNNNNNNNNNNNNNNNNNNNNNNNNNNNNNNNNNNNNNNNNNNNNNNNNNNNNNNNNNNNNNNNNNNNNNNNNNNNNNNNNNNNNNNNNNNNNNNNNNNNNNNNNNNNNNNNNNNNNNNNNNNNNNNNNNNNNNNNNNNNNNNNNNNNNNNNNNNNNNNNNNNNNNNNNNNNNNNNNNNNNNNNNNNNNNNNNNNNNNNNNNNNNNNNNNNNNNNNNNNNNNNNNNNNNNNNNNNNNNNNNNNNNNNNNNNNNNNNNNNNNNNNNNNNNNNNNNNNNNNNNNNNNNNNNNNNNNNNNNNNNNNNNNNNNNNNCCUGUUACGUGGCUUGACGUAGGGUCCAAGUCUCCUAAGUUGUAUUCGAUGAGAAAAUCACGUUCCCGAAGGUUUCAUUCCGUUUGGACUCCGUUUGAUAUUCCUUUUCUUCGAAACCCUAAAACAGGCAAAAAAACAACAAUUCUGGGUUGGGCCUCCGGUUAAUAGGCUAGUCCCAAAACAAUAUAAAAGUAGAUAAGAAAGCCCAAUAAUGUCCAAAACAGUAGAUAACAUAGCAUGGAUCAAUCAAAAAUUAUAGAUACAUUGGAGACGUAUCACGAUGCUUAUGUGAAAAAGCUUCAACCUGAUAAGCUCGAACCCAAAUCAGAGAAAUGUGUCUUCAUAGGAUACCUAAAAGAGACUGUAGGGUACACCUUCUACCACAAAUCAGAAGGCAAGCUAUUCGUUGCUAAGAAUGGAUCCUUUCUAGAGAAGGAGUUUCUCUCGAAAGAAGUGAGUGGGAUGAAAGUAGAACUUGAUGAGGUAAUUGUAACUUCUCCCGAAUUGGAAAGUAGUUCAUCACAGAAAUCAGUUUCAGGGAUUCCUACACCAAUCAAUGAGGAAGCUAAUGAUGAUGAUCAUGAAACUUGAGAUCAAGUUACUACCAAACCUCGUAGGUCAACCAGAGUACGAUCCGCACCAGAGUGGUACGGUAAUCCUGUUCUGGAGGUCAUGUUACUUGACCAUGAUGAACCUACGAACUAUGAGGAAGCGAUGAUGAGCCCAAAUUCCUAGAAAUGGCUUGAGGCCCUGAAAUCUGAGAUGGGAUCCAUGUAUGAGAUCAAAGUAUGGACUUUGGUUGACUUGCCCGAUGAUCAUGGCGGGUAUCGUUAUUUUCUGACCUUCACAGAUGAUUUUACCAGAUAGGGGUAUGUCUACUUGUUGAAACAUAAGUCUGAAACAUUUGCAAAGUUCAAAGAAAUUCAGAGUGAAGUGGAAAAUCAUCUUAACAAGAAAAUUAAGUUUCUACGAUCUGACAAUGGAGGUGAAUAUUUGAGUUACGAGUUUGGUCUUCAUUUGAAACAAUGGGGAAUAGUUUCGCAACUGACGCAACCUGGAACACCACAGCGUAAUGGUGUGUCCGAACAUCGUAACCGCACUUUAUUAGAUAUGGUGUGAUCUAUGAUGUCUCUUACUGAUUUACCGCUAUCGUUUUGGGGUUAUGCUUUAGAGACGGCUGCAUUCACGUUAAAUAGGGCACCAUCAAAAUCAGUUGAGACAACACCAUAUGAACUGUGGUUUGGCAAGAAACUCAAGUUGUCGUUUCUUAAAGAUUGGGGUUGUGAUGCUUAUGUGAAAAAGCUUCAACCUGAUAAGCUCAAACCCAAAUCGGAGAAAUGUGUCUUCAUAGGAUACCCAAAGGAGACUAUUGGGUACACCUUCUAUCACAGAUCCGAAGGCAAGAUAUUCGUUGCUAAGAAUGGAUCCUUUCUAGAGAAGGAGUUUCUCUCAAAAGAAGUGAGUGGGAGGAAAGUAGAACUUGAUGAGGUAAUUGUACCUGCUCCCUUAUUGGAAAGUAGUUCAUCACAUAAAUCAGUUCCAGUGAUUCCUACACCAAUUAGUGAGGAAGCUACUGAUGAUGAUCAUGAAACUUCUGAUCAAGUUACUACCGAACCUCGUAGGUCAACUAGAGUAAGAUCCACA